Molecule: unclassified non-coding RNA, 719 nt
Filed under: Hevea brasiliensis (rubber tree)
Lineage: Eukaryota; Viridiplantae; Streptophyta; Magnoliopsida; Malpighiales; Euphorbiaceae
Source: RNAcentral
AGAACAUACUGAUAAAUUACAAGAAAAACUCAAAAAACAUAACUUCAAAACAUAGGACACUGAAAAUUAAAAUUCAACAUAGGAAGUAUGUAUUCCAGAGUUUAUUUCCCAGAAGUUAGGGUCAAACCCAACUUCAACACAAACUAAAAUCAGUCGCUGUUCUAAUUUACUCAUACCCUGUAAAAGUAUGAUAUCACACAACAGCAUCGUAGAACAUUACAAGUCUUUGAUCUAGACACUACAGCCAUACACGUAACAUCUUCCAUACUCCCAUUUAUACCAUAUCAUAUCAUACUACCAUUUAUCAUACUACCAUUUAAUCCCACUGUCCAACUUCUGAUGCCAAAAUCAUAUCUAACCACCCUUCCAACUAGAGCUCUGAAGAUAUCUGGCACAGAACCAAUCACAUACACGAUAAAUUAUCACCUGCCAACCAAUGAUAGCACCAGCAGUUCUGACAGCUAGGGCAAGAUGAAAGUCGAGUAAAAUGGCGAGUGCACCAUAUGUUUAUUCCACCAACUCCUCCAAUGUAAGCCCAAAACAAACAGUUGCUUAUUAAACAUUCUAUUCCGACCCAUGUAACCAGACAAAAGUAUUAACUUCUUACGAAUUUCGCAUCAUAAACAUGUUCAAUAUUUGUCUUCCCAUGGCAAGAGAGCUCAGCGAAAUAUGUUCAGUAGCAAGGCCCCACAAGGAGCCACAGCCACCCAUGCUCCAAC